Molecule: RNA transcript, 1069 nt
Organism: Perognathus longimembris pacificus (Pacific pocket mouse)
Lineage: Eukaryota; Metazoa; Chordata; Mammalia; Rodentia; Heteromyidae
Gene: Alg14
Gene name: ALG14 UDP-N-acetylglucosaminyltransferase subunit
Exons: 5
Source: RefSeq, a predicted model, not a curated record
GCCGGGAGCGGUGCGCAUGCGCCCUUCUUUGGAAUGCUGUGUAUUAUUAUUCUCGUCGCUACGACUGGAGCUGUGAUUGUCGUCCUCGGCCUGAGACUGUGGAUAGUGCUUCGGACUCAGAAGGUUAUUUCUCGGAAAUGUCUCAGUGUCUUGGUAGUGGCUGGGUCUGGUGGGCAUACCAUGGAGAUCCUGAGGCUGGUUGGUAGCCUGUCCAGUGCUUACUCACCUAGACAUUAUAUCAUUGCUGACACGGAUACAAUGAGUGCCAAUAAAAUUGAUUGUUUUGAACUUGAUCGUGCUGGAAGAGAACCUAGUACCAUGUACACCAAAUACUACAUCCACCGAAUUCCGAGAAGCCGUGAGGUCCAGCAGGCCUGGCUGUCCACAGUGCUCACCACCAUACAGGCCUUGUGGCUCUCCUUUCCUCUGGUUGUCCGGAUAAAGCCAGAUUUGGUGUUGUGUAACGGACCAGGAACAUGUGUUCCUAUCUGCAUAUCCGCCCUCCUGCUUGGAAUCCUCGGGAUAAAGAAGGUGAUCCUUGUCUACAUUGAGAGCAUCUGCCGAGUGGAAACGUUAUCCCUGUCUGGGAAGAUUCUAUUCCAUCUCACGGAUUACUUCAUUGUUCAGUGGCCAGCUCUUAAGGAGAAGUAUCCCAAAUCUGUGUACCUUGGGCGAAUUGUUUGACCAAUGGCAACUACUUCUUUAGAAUUUUGCCAUCAACAAUAUUGACUUAACACACUUAUAAAGGCUUCUGAAAGCCUUAACAAUUGUUGAUGAUCAAGAGUAAAAUAAUAUACAAAUAACUCACUAGAGAAACUGAGAUGCCAGAGUGAUGGUACACACCUGUAAUCCAAACACUGGGGCAGCUGAAGCAGGAAGAAUGUGGGUUCUAGGGCAACCUGUACUACAUAGCAAAUCCCCAUUUAAGAAGGGGGGUAAGAGGGAAGAAAGGAGAGAGUAAGGGGGUCCUCUCAUAAAAUUAUUAAAAUGUUAAUAAAUAGUACAUAUCAAAUAUUUAUGGCUCUGUACAUCAAAUUUCUUCUUAGGUAAAAUAUGAAACACUACCUGC